This 213-nucleotide long non-coding RNA is filed under the name Brachypodium distachyon (stiff brome). RNAcentral's name for it is "long non-coding RNA (BDIS_LNC002367)". The record is from RNAcentral. Lineage: Eukaryota; Viridiplantae; Streptophyta; Magnoliopsida; Poales; Poaceae.
ACAGCUAACAAAUGAGGGAGGCGGGGGCAGUGGUCCAGGAGGGGUGAAGAGAAAGAGGCUGCUAGAGAGGAGCUGCCAGAGUUGAAUCCUGGGGGUCAGUCGGUCAGUGGAGGACCCCAACAGGUUCCUGCUGUGUGGCAGUUCUCUUCGGAAUAUAUGGCAAUGAUGUGAAUUUGACUGAGUCAUUGAAUAGGAGGCUCGAUAUUGAUGACA